Molecule: long non-coding RNA, 966 nt
Filed under: Solanum tuberosum (potato)
Lineage: Eukaryota; Viridiplantae; Streptophyta; Magnoliopsida; Solanales; Solanaceae
Description: long non-coding RNA (STUB_LNC006807)
Source: RNAcentral
AUAAGUAAUACACGGUCAUCUAACUGAAAUAAAUUUUCUACGAUUCAAUCUAAUUCUUGGUCAAAUACUAUUGAACACAAAUGAGAAACAUCAACAAGAAAACCAAAAUCUUGAAUACACAAUUUGACCCCUUCAAUUCAAACAUAAUGUACGUAAAACAUGAUAUCUACAAAUUGUAACUCAUGAUGAGUUCUAUAAAAAAACAAAAGCCAAAGCAGCUUAUAUAAUGAACAUUUACCCCCUCCCAUCAACUAUACAAGUAAAGAAAAAUAUUUUCGUUACAAAAAUUCACAAAUUAUCUAUACAAAUAUAAUAAAAAAUUAAUUUUCGAACAAAAAUAAAAACUCUUGACGAAGUGUAUAAAACAAUCAAGGAUCUAUCACAUAUCGGCCCUUGCAUCCACUGUCUUUGUUCAAAAUAGUAAGAAAAGAAGAACAAAAUUCAACAACUAAAAUGUACUUUGGAGUAAUAAAGACGAAAAAUAUUAAAAUCAUAUUCAAUUAAAUAUUUGGAGAUCUUCUAAAAGAAAAUUAAGAGAUAAUUCAGAUAAAUAAAUAUCAGAUGAGGAUUUUUUGGACAAAGAGUUGAAAUACAAAACUAAAGAAUAUAAAGGAAAUUAGGAAAAGAAGAGAUGUAAAGAAAAAGGAAAAAGGGGAGCAGACAAAAUGGAUGGGUAGAGGCAGUGAUUUGAGAAAGGAAAAAAUUUAACUUAACAGACGUGUUUAAGGGGAUUCGAACCUACACCUAGCGCCUAGCACCCUGGCCAUUGACCAACGGAUCAGAGAUGAUAAUGCUACUACUGGUUCCAACCUUUUAUAUAUACCAUAACUCAUUAAAUCCCUAUGUGUAUAUGGAAAUUUUAGCGGAGUGUUUGGAUGUCGUGGCACCCUCACGCUACCACAUAGAUCCACCCCUGGUUUGAAAUUUGGACUCUGGACUCUUUACCAUCAGUCAUUAUGAAGGAAG